GUGCCAGCCGCCGCGGUAAUACGUAGGGUGCGAGCGUUAAUCGGAAUUACUGGGCGUAAAGGGUGCGCAGGCGGUUCUGCAAGUCAGGCGUGAAAGCCCCGGGCUUAACCUGGGAAUGGCGCUUGAAACUACAGGACUGGAGUAUGGCAGAGGGAGGUGGAAUUCCACGUGUAGCGGUGAAAUGCGUAGAGAUGUGGAGGAACACCGAUGGCGAAGGCAGCCUCCUGGGCCAAUACUGACGCUCAUGCACGAAAGCGUGGGGAGCAAACAGGAUUAGAUACCCUGGUAGUCC
RNAcentral lists this ribosomal RNA (292 nucleotides) under uncultured bacterium. Its description in RNAcentral is "partial 16S ribosomal RNA". It matches the Rfam family "Bacterial small subunit ribosomal RNA", at positions 505 to 796 of the family's 1533-position model. The record is from RNAcentral.